This is a non-coding RNA of Acanthosepion pharaonis, 111 nucleotides long. The record is from the annotation of a GenBank genome assembly. Lineage: Eukaryota; Metazoa; Mollusca; Cephalopoda; Sepiida; Sepiidae.
CAGCCAUGACAUGUUGAAACACCAGUUCUUGUACAAUCACCAAAGUUAAGCAACGUAGAGCCUAGUCAGUAUCUAGAUGGGUGACCACUUGGGAAUACCAGGUGAUGUAAG